UACGUAGGGGGCAAGCGUUGUCCGGAAUCAUUGGGCGUAAAGCGCGUGUAGGCGGUUCGGUGAGUCCGCUGUGAAAGUCGGGGGCUCAACCCUCGGAUGCCGGUGGAUACUGUCGAGCUUGAGUACGGAAGAGGCGAGUGGAAUUCCUGGUGUAGCGGUGAAAUGCGCAGAUAUCAGGAGGAACACCAAUUGCGAAGGCAGCUCGCUGGGACGUUACUGACGCUGAGACGCGAAAGCGUGGGGAGCAAACAGG
This 253-nucleotide ribosomal RNA is filed under the name uncultured bacterium. RNAcentral describes it as "partial 16S ribosomal RNA". It matches the Rfam family "Bacterial small subunit ribosomal RNA", at positions 524 to 776 of the family's 1533-position model. The record is from RNAcentral.